This 211-nucleotide long non-coding RNA is filed under the name Mytilus galloprovincialis (Mediterranean mussel). The record is from RNAcentral. Lineage: Eukaryota; Metazoa; Mollusca; Bivalvia; Mytilida; Mytilidae.
AUGUCUAAGGGAGCCACCAUUUAAUUUUUAUGGGGGGCUAGGAUGAAAUUUGAAAAAAAUAGGCAGGACAGGAGUUUUGAGUAAAAUAAAAGGCAGGAUGAGACACUUGCAAAAACAAAAAGUCAGGACGACAAUUUAGGUAAAAAAAAGUCAGGAUAAACUAAAAAAAAAAAGGCAGGACCGAACAGAGUGAAAAUAAAAAGGCAGGACA